GCCGACAUAGCUCAAUUGGUAGAGCAACUCACUUGUAAUGAGAAGGUUGGGAGUUCAAGUCUCUCUGUCGGCA
This 73-nucleotide transfer RNA is filed under the name Caudoviricetes sp. RNAcentral's name for it is "tRNA-Thr". It matches the Rfam family "tRNA". From Rfam's summary of the family: Transfer RNA (tRNA) molecules are approximately 80 nucleotides in length. Lineage: Duplodnaviria; Heunggongvirae; Uroviricota; Caudoviricetes. The record is from RNAcentral.